GAGAAAUAAUGCAGGGAUGGAUAUUUCAUAGAGCUUUUUGGAAUUACACAUAGUAUGACAUUAUGUGGAGGUAAACUGGUCCUCCAUGCUCAGCCAUGUUUACAAUAUCAAUGCAAUAGUAUUUUUCACAAAGACCACCAAGAACAUCUAAUGGUCACAACAGUCAGGUUAAUGAAGGUACGCUUAUCCGGGAUUCAUCUUAAAUCACACAUCAAUUACGUAAGCCACCCUAAAUCUUUUUGUUUGUUUUCGGAUGCACAUUGAAACACAUUGAUAUCGAUAUAUGCUCGAUCGCAAGACCGAAUACAGGGCCUGCUUCAAUAUACAGUAUAUAAAUUAUUGAAUUCAAUUGAAACUCGUGUUUCUUUCCUUCUAAGGCCCCUUCUUCCAUACUGCAUUUAAUUGGUUGUCUAGCUAGGCUGAGGACUCGUGCUUUCAUCAAUAACACACAUAAAUAGCUUAUCUCCCUCUAAAAGAAAAGCCCUGGAAACGCCAUUUGAAACCAUCACUGAAGAACUUUAAGACUUAAGCUUGUUAAGAGAGCACUCAAGUCAGAUGUGCUGGUGAGUGACCAAGGCCUAACAAAAGAAAAGUACACCACCCGUAAAUUACUCUGCAGCUUAGCUACAGUGGAGGUAAAGUUCACUGCAGAAUUCAACAUAUGUGUGCAAAGGUGAGCUAGAUACCAUAUUCCACAGUCAUCUAGUUUGAUGUGUGGAAAAAAGUCACAACACACUAGUGAUCGAGGCAUCUCACUAGAUUGCGUAAAAGCCUGGAGGUACAAUAAAAUGCAGAUGAGGCUUUCCAUUCAUCAGUGACGCAACUAUGCUCCUAGUCAACAGCUGAGAUGGGAGUAUUUAUACAAUACUCUCAUCUCCAAGAGGUAAACGUACAUUUCUCAGAAAGAACGUAUUUCCGAAACGUAUGAUUUUCCAGAACUGAGACAAUCUUUUUCCAUUCAAUAUGCAUUGUUUUUGCCGUCAUCUUCUUCCUCAUCAGCUUCACACAGAUGCUAAAAUGGCGUUUCAGAAAGAAAGACGAGCGAGGGGGAAAAGAAGGAGCGGAAGACACCGAGCAAGGAGAGGGAAGGGAAGGCGAAAUCCGGAGGAUGAUGGGUGGGGACGAGGAAACAUUCAAGAGAAAAUCUGUGCGAUUCAAUCAAGCUUAAUUCUAUUUUGAUAAUUGUCUGCGUUCGCAUCUCUGCCUCUCUCCAUAGGGAUGCUGUGACUUGUGUACGAGACUGACAAUGAAGUCGGUAACAGCAGCUGCUCGGUGCCGGGGUAGCUCGUGUACCUCACUGCUCAAGUCUUGUCAGUCACAUUUCCCCUAAUUAACUAACAUCUGCUUUCCAUUUUCAGUUACACUGCAUCGCCAGCUUGUCUCAUCUGAAUCGCCGACUCUUGACCUCCCCUGAGGCAGGAGAAGAGUUGUGUAUCAGCCAGUCUUCAGAGCCAGGGUGGGUCUGAUGCUAAAUAAAGAGACAAACCCCGCCAACUGCUUAUGAUUCCAAAAUAAUUGAGAUCUGGUCGUUUUGGGUUGACAAGGAUGAGGAAAGGAGGAGGGGGCAAAAUGUCAACCAUCAAGCCAUCGUCCCUAACCCCAAACCGUGCACCCCUUCGGCAGCAGCUUAAGCACAGAUUUAAAACCUGGGAGAGGAUUAUCUACAUACAAGACUGCUGACCUAUAAAAUGAGGUGUUGCUAUGUACCGUUGGUGGAGUCAUAGGCCAGCGCAAUCAACAACACACCCAACAAAGUCCUGCAUUCAGCACCUGUCCCUGAUCAGCACCACAUCACUGAAACUGAACCUCAAUGAAGAGGAAAAAGGAAAGCAGUCAAAUCCGAAAGAAAUCAACAGCAUUUAGCUGGGGCAGCUUCUGUCCUCUGUCCCCCUGCAUUCUAAUCAACCUCUGGUAGUUCUAAUUUAUGAAACGUAAUUCUGCCCUCCACUGGUACGAAAAAGGUGCACACACACUCAGGAACACAUACAUUUCCUGCUUUACAAGUAU
Long non-coding RNA from Esox lucius (northern pike), 2007 nucleotides. RefSeq lists it as uncharacterized. The record is from RefSeq and is a predicted model, not a curated record. The transcript is spliced from 5 exons. Lineage: Eukaryota; Metazoa; Chordata; Actinopteri; Esociformes; Esocidae.